AAGUCGUAACAAGGUUUCCGUAGGUGAACCUGCGGAAGGAUCAUUACUAAAGAUUCACGUCUUUGGUUCCAUCUCGUGCACUGUUUCCCCCCUUCGGCACUUCGGUGCUGUUGGGGCCCCCUUUUCACCCUUUUUUACUUUAAUUGUUUACUUCAUUUGGGAUUUCGGAAUAUAAUAUAACUUUCAGCAACGGAUCUCUAGGCUCUU
This 207-nucleotide unclassified non-coding RNA is filed under the name fungal sp. RNAcentral's name for it is "partial internal transcribed spacer region". The stretch from base 1 to 46 matches the Rfam family "Eukaryotic small subunit ribosomal RNA", at positions 1786 to 1831 of the family's 1831-position model. The record is from RNAcentral. Lineage: Eukaryota; Fungi.